RNAcentral lists this ribosomal RNA (834 nucleotides) under uncultured bacterium. RNAcentral's name for it is "bacterial SSU rRNA". It matches the Rfam family "Bacterial small subunit ribosomal RNA", at positions 60 to 890 of the family's 1533-position model. The record is from RNAcentral.
AGUCGAACGAAGCUUGACGGAUGAUUUCUUCGGAAUGAAACCAGAUAUGACUUAGUGGCGGACGGGUGAGCAACACGUGAGCAACCUGCCUUUCAGAGGGGGAUAACGGCUGGAAACGGUCGCUAAUACCGCAUGAUGUGUUCGGAUGGCAUCAUCUGGACAUCAAAGAUUUAUCGCUGAAAGAUGGGCUCGCGUCUGACUAGAUAGUUGGUGGGGUAACGGCCUACCAAGUCUACGAUCAGUAGCCGGACUGAGAGGUUGAACGGCCACAUUGGGACUGAGAUACGGCCCAGACUCCUACGGGAGGCAGCAGUGGGGAAUAUUGCACAAUGGGGGAAACCCUGAUGCAGCAACGCCGCGUGAAGGAUGACGGUUUUCGGAUUGUAAACUUCUUUUCUUAGUGACGAAGACAGUGACGGUAGCUAAGGAAUAAGCAUCGGCUAACUACGUGCCAGCAGCCGCGGUAAUACGUAGGAUGCAAGCGUUAUCCGGAUUUACUGGGUGUAAAGGGAGCGCAGGCGGGACUGCAAGUUGGAUGUGAAAUACCGUGGCUUAACCACGGCACUGCAUCCAAAACUGUAGUUCUUGAGUGAAGUAGAGGCAAGCGGAAUUCCGAGUGUAGCGGUGAAAUGCGUAGAUAUUCGGAGGAACACCAGUGGCGAAGGCGGCUUGCUGGGCUUUAACUGACGCUGAGGCUCGAAAGUGUGGGGAGCAAACAGGAUUAGAUACCCUGGUAGUCCACACUGUAAACGAUGAUAGCUAGGUGUGGGGGGUCUGACCCCUUCCGUGCCGGAGUUAACGCAAUAAGCUAUCCACCUGGGGAGUACGACCGCA